GCCGCCCUAGCUCAGCCGGUAUAGCGCGUGGCUUUUAACCACGUGGUCGUGGGUUCGAUUCCCACGGGCGGCG
This is a transfer RNA of Selaginella moellendorffii, 73 nucleotides long. It matches the Rfam family "tRNA". Rfam says of the family: Transfer RNA (tRNA) molecules are approximately 80 nucleotides in length. Their secondary structure includes four short double-helical elements and three loops (D, anti-codon, and T loops). NCBI's taxonomy places the organism in Eukaryota, Viridiplantae, Streptophyta, Lycopodiopsida, Selaginellales, Selaginellaceae. The record is from Rfam.